Molecule: non-coding RNA, 869 nt
Organism: Schizosaccharomyces pombe (fission yeast)
Lineage: Eukaryota; Fungi; Ascomycota; Schizosaccharomycetes; Schizosaccharomycetales; Schizosaccharomycetaceae
Source: the annotation of a GenBank genome assembly
AAUAUGGAUUGCGAAAGUGAUCGAGUGUAUCACGAAUAUAUAUGAGAUGGAUAUUUUUCGAGAGUUGGGAAUACUAACUUGCUACUACUAAAGAAAAAAAAAGAACUUGUUUCAAAAUUACAAAGAACAUUUAAAAUGCCCGAUACUGUGUUUUAAUUUGAAAUUUGAAUAAAGGUAUCCGAAAACUCCUUAAAUCAAUGACAACCCAAACACAAAACUAAAGAAACAAGGUUAUAUGGAUUUACAAUAAAACAGCUCAAAUAUGUGUGAACAAGAUGAAAAGAGAGAUAGAAUAUUACUUAACAAGUUAAUAAUUCAAAUAUGGAAUACUAAAAUAAACAUGGGUUGGGUCUCGUUUACUCAACAUAAAUGUACUUUUCGAGUGAAAAGAAAUGUGAAUAGUAGUAAGGGAAUAGUUUCAAAAAUCAAUAAAGGUUGUCUCCUUUGAGGAUACCAAAAUCAAAAAUAUAACCAAAAAAUUAUUCAUAGAGGUCCAUUAUUUCAUUAUGAGCUUUGACAAAUCGUUCAAUGUAUUCAGUUCCUUUAGCCAAAAACGUGAUUCGAAUAUGAUAAUCACCUUCUGGUUGCCCAAAUCCACUUCCAGGAACAACACAUAUACCUGAACGCUUAAGCAAUUCUAUCGCAUAGAAUUCGUCAGGUUGAAUUUUCUGAGCUUUGGCUGUAGUGAUUAACUUUUCGGGAAGUGAGACGCUGGGAUGCAAAUACAUGGCCCCCUUGAAAAUAUGAAUUAGUAAAGAAAUGAAAACAUAAUGCAAAUUUUACUUACGUGGGGUUCUAAACAUGAAACUCUCUUCAUGCGCUUUGUUCCCUCGUAGAGCUGACGGCAUUGUAAACGCAGUGCUUCAUGA